This 604-nucleotide ribosomal RNA is filed under the name Halomonas fontilapidosi. RNAcentral's name for it is "bacterial SSU rRNA". It matches the Rfam family "Bacterial small subunit ribosomal RNA", at positions 133 to 729 of the family's 1533-position model. The record is from RNAcentral. Lineage: Bacteria; Pseudomonadati; Pseudomonadota; Gammaproteobacteria; Oceanospirillales; Halomonadaceae.
UUGGGUGGGGAUGGGGCCUGGGGGAAACUCAGGCUAAUACCGCAUACGCCCUACGGGGGAAAGCAGGGGCUCUUCGGACCUUGCGCUAUCGGAUGAGCCUAUGUCGGAUUAGCUAGUUGGUGAGGUAAUGGCUCACCAAGGCGACGAUCCGUAGCUGGUCUGAGAGGAUGAUCAGCCACAUCGGGACUGAGACACGGCCCGAACUCCUACGGGAGGCAGCAGUGGGGAAUAUUGGACAAUGGGCGAAAGCCUGAUCCAGCCAUGCCGCGUGUGUGAAGAAGGCUUUCGGGUUGUAAAGCACUUUCAGUGAGGAAGAACGCCUUGGGGCUAAUACCCCCGAGGGAAGACAUCACUCACAGAAGAAGCACCGGCUAACUCCGUGCCAGCAGCCGCGGUAAUACGGAGGGUGCAAGCGUUAAUCGGAAUUACUGGGCGUAAAGCGCGCGUACGCGGCGUGAUAAGCCGGUUGUGAAAGCCCCGGGCUCAACCUGGGAACGGCAUCCGGAACUGUCAGGCUAGAGUGCAGGAGAGGAAGGUAGAAUUCCCGGUGUAGCGGUGAAAUGCGUAGAGAUCGGGAGGAAUACCAGUGGCGAAAGGCGCCUUC